GGAAGCCGUAUGAGUUGAGAGGCUCACGUACGGUUCUGAGAGAGCCUGAAGGUGAAACUUUGCCUCAGGACAAGAACUACCGCUACGGUUGGCAGCGUUUCUUGGCAGCCCGAACAAUCGCAAGGACUUCAAC
This 133-nucleotide unclassified non-coding RNA is filed under the name Pseudomonas sp. NFACC39-1. Lineage: Bacteria; Pseudomonadati; Pseudomonadota; Gammaproteobacteria; Pseudomonadales; Pseudomonadaceae. The record is from RNAcentral.